This is a long non-coding RNA of Lycium barbarum (goji berry), 855 nucleotides long. RefSeq lists it as uncharacterized. Lineage: Eukaryota; Viridiplantae; Streptophyta; Magnoliopsida; Solanales; Solanaceae. The transcript has 4 exons. The record is from RefSeq and is a predicted model, not a curated record.
CACACCAUAUAAAGAUCUCAUUAUAGACCCUAGAAAGGGGGCUAGCAGUCAUCACUACCUGAUUUUUCAACACAUUAGCCGCCACCUCCGUUACAGCUCCACUCCAAACACUAUUAAUGACCACCAAGCUUUCACCUUUAAUACAAAGCUCUCAUCUUUAACCAACAAAACCAUUUUGUGACCAUCUACUUCUAUCAGAAAAACCAGUAAAAGACUAAAAAAGAAAAUAAUUGAGGUUGAAGGAAAAGCCGAUGAAUUUUCUGUUCGUGGUCUCCGAUCUUAGUCUCGAUUUUGAUUCAAGUUUUGGCCUUUGCGGCUCUGUACUAGUAUGAGAUUUCCUAUACUAAAUUGAAGUUACGAUUUUGCUUCGCUUCAUUAAGGUUCAGGUAGUCACCCGGACGAGCCAGACAGUAGGAUCUCCUCCCAGCUGCAGUUUGUGCGCUCCACUCGAUCCGGAGUUGCAGCCUUUUGGUAUACUAUUUCUGGUGCAAGUAGACGAGAUGAAGGUCUUCCGCAGUAGGCUGCUUUCAGGUACCAGUUUGAUUGGUGCAGAUACUCGUUUUGGUGAUCCGCCAGCUUAGGACUCCCCUUCCUGCUAUCUUGGAGAGCUCCGUUGUUCCGGAGUCUAGAUUUUGGUACAGACUUCCUUUUGAUGUAUAUAUGUAUAUGUUGUCUAAGGGUAUGACGGGGCCCUGUCCCGUCAUAUUUCACUGUUGAAACUCUUAGAGGUCUGUAGACAUGUAUGUGGGUUGUGUCCAAAUAGGGUCAGUUGUGCUUAUAUGGUCAUUAUGGAUGUUCUAGCGCUGUAGCAGCCUUGCCGGCUUAUAUAUUUUAUCGUUUUGUUGUGGCAGCCUU